GACGAACGCUGGCGGCGUGCUUAACACAUGCAAGUCGAACGGAAAGGCCCUGCUUUUGUGGGGUGCUCGAGUGGCGAACGGGUGAGUAACACGUGAGUAACCUGCCCUUGACUUUGGGAUAACUUCAGGAAACUGGGGCUAUUACCGGGUAGGAGCUCCUGCUGCAUGGUGGGGGUUGGAAAGUUUCGGCGGUUGGGGAUGGACUCGCGGCUUAUCAGCUUGUUGGUGGGGUAGUGGCUUACCAAGGCUUUGACGGGUAGCCGGCCUGAGAGGGUGACCGGCCACAUUGGGACUGAGAUACGGCCCAGACUCCUACGGGAGGCAGCAGUGGGGAAUAUUGCACAAUGGGCGGAAGCCUGAUGCAGCAACGCCGCGUGCGGGAUGACGGCCUUCGGGUUGUAAACCGCUUUCGCCUGUGACGAAGCGUGAGUGACGGUAAUGGGUAAAGAAGCACCGGCUAACUACGUG
Molecule: ribosomal RNA, 468 nt
Filed under: uncultured bacterium
Lineage: Bacteria
Description: partial 16S ribosomal RNA
Rfam family: Bacterial small subunit ribosomal RNA
Source: RNAcentral